RNAcentral lists this ribosomal RNA (45 nucleotides) under Penicillium sp. mms747. RNAcentral's name for it is "partial 28S ribosomal RNA". The record is from RNAcentral. Lineage: Eukaryota; Fungi; Ascomycota; Eurotiomycetes; Eurotiales; Aspergillaceae.
UUGACCUCNGAUCANGUAGGGAUACCCGCUGAACUUAAGCAUAUC